GCUGCCAGCAGCUGCCCAGAGAUGGCCCCUAGGCUGUGAGCAAGAAACGGACAGGACACCUGAAGUCCCCACACUGCAGACCAGAGAGGGCCAAGGGAAGUGUCAUUCCAGCAGCGAGAUGGGGCCUACGGACUAGAGAUGACCUCUGUGAAGCCGGCAACCUGUCAGCCUUUUCUGACAACAUCCAGGAAGUCUGCCUUCCCCUCUCCUCAAGCCCCGCCCCCCACACUCACCAUUUCCAGUGUCCUAGGUGGGUGGCGUCCUUCAAUGGAAGAUGGUCAGAAAACAGCGGACAGAGAGCAGCAAACGCUGACUGCCUUUAGAGAUUCCCAACAACAGAGCCCACUCCUAGAACCUCCCUCCACCUCAGAACUGGAAGACUACUGUGGCAUCAAGAUCCUGCGGGAUUACGUAGCAUUUACACCACCGCAUCUGACUGAACAGCUUGCAUUGCCGUGAGUGUGCACAACGUCUAAAAGACGCAGCCAAUCAGAAUCCUCCAUAGCGCUGACACACGAGUUCAGGUCGUGCCAGAUGGAAAAAAUAAGAGGAGUCAGGUUCAUUUCCAACACUGCGUCCUCUUUGGCUCCAGCCUCCCUGUAGUGGGAGGGAGUUUCUCCUCCCUGGUCCUGCAAACUGCUGGACUCCCUCCCACCUCUUUCUGGAAAAGAUCCUAUUGGGUGUUGCAGGAACCUCCUUCAGGAGAACCAGAUUCUCAAAGGUUUACAUGAAGACACCAUGGAAGAGGGGCAUAAAAGUUCAAGUUCACCCAAAUCUUUGCCGGCAUUUGGAUUUACCAGGUUCAACUUUUUUUUUUUUUACAACACAAUGACAAUAAAUGUUGUCUUACUGUGCUUUUAUUUUGCCUUUCCUGUUUUCUAAUGGAGUCAAGUAUCUUUGAAGAGUUUAGGAUCCAGAGUUGGUGUCCAUGUCCCAUGUUGGAGCACCAGGAGUCCUGGCUGCUCUGUGUCCAAUUCACUCCCUGCUGCUACACCUGGGAAGUGCUGCCAUUUGGGGAGUGAGCCAGUGUAUGGAAGGCCUCUCUCUCUCAUUUCUCAUAGAUAAAUUAACUUUGUUUUUUAAAAAAAAUAAUGGCCCACUGUAGUGCUUCUAUGAAAUACCUCCCUGUAUCUGGUAUGAAUUCUUUUUAAAAUUAAUCUUACUCUUUAUGGACUUUAAAAUGUCUGAGUCCUAAUUUAAUACCUUCAGUUGUAUGGAAGCUACUAUCUUCUUUGUUUGUGCCCUCCCCUUUUCUUGGAGUAUUUGUUGAUGAUCAGAAGCUCUUAAUGUAUUUAUAUUUACACACUGUUUCUUUAACGGUUAGAGCUAUUGAAGCAUACUCUCUGCUGAGGCCACAAAUGUAUUCUACAUCUUCCAAGAGUUUAAGGUUUGCAUUUCAAAUUGAACCUGUCAAACCAGGAAGUAUUGAUUUUAGUAUACAGAGGAAAGCAAAUGCUUCCAUUUAUUCUGUGUGAAUAACAAGUUGUUCUUGGGCCCGGUGCUGUGGUGCAGCAGGUUAACACCCUGGCCUUAAGCACCAGCAUCCCAUAUGGUGCCAG
This is a non-coding RNA of Oryctolagus cuniculus (rabbit), 1559 nucleotides long. The record is from RefSeq and is a predicted model, not a curated record. Lineage: Eukaryota; Metazoa; Chordata; Mammalia; Lagomorpha; Leporidae.